ACAGGCUUUGUUAGAGGUGAAGUACAAAACCAUUCAGACCACUAACGGCUGGUCCCGAACAGGCUGAUGACUCACAGAUGUUAAUUUACUGGUUUGAAGGGCCAAGAAGAGACGGAGCCUCCUUUAAUUUACAGGAAGCCAGCUGCGCUCACUCGGCCCCUUGCAUCACCCUUGUGACGGAGGCGGAAUGCAGCACGUGGUCCGGCGAUGAUGCAUGAGGUGGAACAGACCCCAGCGCACGUCUCGUCUAUCUAGAUGGGCUCCCAUACAAUAAAAUCCUUUCUUCCUUCGAGUUGGUGAAGAGGGGAGACGCACACUCGACCAUGUGUAACAUGGAAUUCCGUAACAUUGAGAGAGACCAGAUGGCUGGCAGCAGCCAGUCCAGAUCCAGGAAAGGCCCAGCCUCCUCAUACCUUCCUCAUUUUCAGUGAGCUAACAUGUUCUCUUGUGGAUGCUAUUGUUUUUUUAAUUGAACUGAAUUGACUAUAUUGUGGAGGUAAGGAGACACUUCCAAAUACAUAUCCAUGUUUGCAAAUAGCCUAUAUAAAGACCUGCAGUUUCUUGCCAAACGAGGCCUUGGUUUCCUGGCUGCAGCGAAUGCACUGCGGAGGCAAUUGCAGGCGACUGGGAAAGAGCACAGGCUCCGGCAGAAGACAGACAGCAGUUUGGGUCUGAUCCUGGCCAUUCUCCAGCCAUCAGUCCUUCGGCCUCUGAAAGCCACAGUUUCUUCACCUGUGGCAUGGAGCCGAGCACAGUGCCCAGGUCACAGAGUCUAACUGAACAUGGAUCGAAUAGGUGUCAUGUGACUCAUACUGUGUUGGAUACAGAGGGUGCACUCAACAACACUUCACUGCUGUUUUUAAUUUGAAAACCUAAGUGUGACUUUGGAUGUAGUGAGUAUAAGACUGUUGUGGAAGUUCACUCAAACUGUGGCACAUAGUGUUCUCCAAAGAUAUUAGGACACGGUGGCCCCUCUUGGUGUGUGCUAUUAAAAUCAUGACAUAAAGAUAAAGAUAAUUUUAGGUCUGAGUCUGCAAACUGCACAAAUCCUGACACCAAGCCUCUUGGGUGGAAGGGGAUUGGUUCCUACUGUAUAGAUGUGAAAUGUGGUUGUGGAAGUUCUAAUCGUGUGUUCACAGCUACAUUAUACAUUAGCAACAAAUAGAAACAUAUGUACCCUCUAGGAUUCCUUCCAAUGUUGGAUUCUUUCCACUCUGGGUUGCAGGUUUGGUACCUAUUCAGCGAUUUUGUACCACCUGAGCAAAACAAGAUCUUCCACAAACAGCCUCGCCAGUUGGCUUUCAAGCUGGUCAGCCAUUUAGCAGAAUCUUCUACACUGUCCAGCACACGCCCUAUACCAUGCUCUGAGGCCGGCUCCAAACCAGCACCCGUUAGGCAGUACACCACUGCACUGUCUUCAUGCAAGUCUUUUACUGUAUGACCCCACCUCACACUUUCCUUACCUAACUCCUUUCCUAACAGCCAAAAGUUUUCUAACAGCUUAAGUUGUGCUGUAAACCUGCACCUCUAACCACCCCUAGUUGGGCCAUACACGUGCGUUUAGUUCCAGGAUGUUGGACCCACAUAGCACUCCCUCUGAGCUUGGACUUGUUACCCAGAAUUCAGAUGAAGUGUUUUACUCAUCUUGCUGAGUAAAGAUGAGUAAAACUUGCUGGUGGCAACUGCCUAUGCUGACCAGUUGCCCAAAGAACCCAGGGAAAGGUAUUCUCAUGGCCACUUCAGCCACCCAUCAGCCAUCGGCACAUCAUUGCUCGUCUGUUGCCCUCUCACAACACAGAUUUCACUAUUGAGCGGCCAUCAGCUACAUAAUUUGUCUGCUGGCACUACCGGUGCCUGGCGCCGAGCCAUCAAAGCUGGCAGCAUGGAAUAUAUGUGGUCUUCACACUGGUUGCUUGUUCCGUUUUGGCGAGAUUAACACCAUAUCAUUGGGAAAGUGAACUUAAUUGGUUUUCUGGGAGUACUUAGUUAAGUCACCCCGCCUCAGCUCCAAGUUGAUUAAAGUGUAGCUUUGCCCUUUCCAACAAGCGUAGCAAAUAAAUGGUGGGGAAAUACUCCAAAAUGCACAUGGCCGGGUCCUCUCAUUCUUUCUUUUUUUUUCCUAGUGACUUUGGGGAGGUUUGGGCACUGAUCCUGCACACACAAUACUGUUCUUGUUCUUCUUUUCUCUACAGAGCAGCCUUGAAUAGCUCUGUCUAAAAGUAUAAGCAGGGGCAGCCCUAGGCUCCAAGAGAUCAGAGCCCUCAUGCUGGGCCAGAACAAAGACCCUGCUUUUCCCCAACAAUUAGCCCUGCAAAGAAGGACAUCUAUCUCCCUCUAUUAAAACCACCACGUGCCUUCAAGUCAGCCCAUUGUAAAGCUAAUUAAAUAACACGCCUCUCUCCCCAUGCAGGUCUCCUGAUUAGCUUUCCUCUCUGCAAAACCUCUGCAAAGCUCCUAGAGAUAGACAAGCCAGUGCUCCACUUCUUACAAGCUCCCCCAUCGGCCUUUGAAAAGCCAUCUUCUCCAUGGUAUUUCCUUGGUUCAUGCUGCAUAUUCAUCUCUAGCUCAGACCUAGAGUUACCUCCAGCUUCAUGGAAUAGUAUGAAAUUUCUUAUUUUUAAAAAUAAAUG
This is a long non-coding RNA of Phyllostomus hastatus (greater spear-nosed bat), 2630 nucleotides long. RefSeq lists it as uncharacterized. The record is from RefSeq and is a predicted model, not a curated record. NCBI's taxonomy places the organism in Eukaryota, Metazoa, Chordata, Mammalia, Chiroptera, Phyllostomidae. The transcript has 3 exons.